ACGCAUUUGCCCGGCCUGGCUCAUAUUUUUCUCGGCAAUGGCAGCCAUGGGGCCUCAAAUUUCUGGGCAAGGCUCACAAUUUCCUAGGCAUGAUCAGGCCUAGGCACCAAAUUGCCCAGCCAUGGCAAUUUCUCGGCAAUUGCCCAGCCAUGGUUCCAGUUCCUCGGCAAUGGCACCAUUUCCCCGGCAAUGGCCAGCCAUGCCACUCAUUUGCCCCGGACAAUGCCUUAAAUUUCUCGGCAAUGGGAAGCCAUGGCCCAAUUUUCUAGGCAAUGGCACAACAUUUCUUGGCAAUGGGCAGCCAUGGCUAAAAUUUCUGAGCAAUGGCUCCCAUUUGCCCGGCCAUGGCUCAGAUUUCUCGGCAAUGGGCAGCCAUGGCCCAAUUUUCUAGGCAAUGGCACAAAAUUUCUCGGCAAUGGGCAGCCAUGGCUCAAAUUUCUGGGCAAUGGCUCACAAUUUCUCGGCAAUGGGCGGCCAUGGCACACAUUUGCCCAGCCAUGGCUCAGAUUUCUCGGCAAUGGGCAGCCAUGGCCCAAUUUUCUCGGCAAUGGAACAACAUUUCUCGGCAAUGGCCAGCCAU
Molecule: long non-coding RNA, 580 nt
Filed under: Actinidia chinensis (golden kiwifruit)
Lineage: Eukaryota; Viridiplantae; Streptophyta; Magnoliopsida; Ericales; Actinidiaceae
Description: long non-coding RNA (ACHI_LNC000357)
Source: RNAcentral